RNAcentral lists this ribosomal RNA (421 nucleotides) under uncultured bacterium. Its description in RNAcentral is "partial 16S ribosomal RNA". It matches the Rfam family "Bacterial small subunit ribosomal RNA", at positions 360 to 773 of the family's 1533-position model. The record is from RNAcentral.
AAUAUUGGACAAUGGGGGCAACCCUGAUCGAUCCAUGCCGCGGGCGUGAAGAAGGUCGUCGGAUUGUAUAGCACUUUAUGUGGGGAGGAAGGGUUUUAGGUUAGUACCUUGAGGCAUUGACGUUACAAACUGUAUAAGAACCGGAUAUCUCUGUGCAAGCAGCCGCGGGAAUACAGAUGGUGCAAGCAUUAAUCGGAAUUACUGGGCGUAAAGCGCGCGUAGGUGGUUCAGUAAGAUGUGUGUGAACUCCCCGGGCUUAACCUCGGAACUGCUGCCAUAACUGCUGAGCUUGAGUACGGUAGAGGGUAGGGGAAUUUCCUGUGUAGCGGUGAAAUGCGUAGAAAUAAGAAGGAACACCAGUGGCGAAGACGACUACCUGGACUGAUACUGACACUGAGGUGCGAAAGCGUGGGGAGCAAAC